This 253-nucleotide ribosomal RNA is filed under the name uncultured bacterium. Its description in RNAcentral is "partial 16S ribosomal RNA". It matches the Rfam family "Bacterial small subunit ribosomal RNA", at positions 524 to 776 of the family's 1533-position model. The record is from RNAcentral.
UACCGAGGGUGCAAGCGUUGUUCGGAAUCAUUGGGCGUAAAGGGCGUGUAGGCGGUAUGUUAAGUCAUGUGUGAAAUCCCUCGGCUCAACCGGGGAACGACGCAUGAAACUGGCAAGCUAGAGUACCAAAGAGGGUGGUGGAAUUCCCGGUGUAGCGGUGAAAUGCGUAGAGAUCCGGAGGAACACCAGAGGCGAAGGCGGCCUACUGGGCUGCACCUGACGCUGAGCCGCGAAAGCCAGGGGAGCGAACGGG